This 253-nucleotide ribosomal RNA is filed under the name uncultured bacterium. Its description in RNAcentral is "partial 16S ribosomal RNA". It matches the Rfam family "Bacterial small subunit ribosomal RNA", at positions 524 to 776 of the family's 1533-position model. The record is from RNAcentral.
UACGAAGGGGGCUAGCGUUGCUCGGAAUUACUGGGCGUAAAGGGCGCGUAGGCGGAUGUCUAAGUUGGGGGUGAAAUCCCGGGGCUCAACCUCGGAACAGCCUUCAAUACUGGAUAUCUUGAGUUCGGGAGAGGUGAGUGGAAUGCCGAGUGUAGAGGUGAAAUUCGUAGAUAUUCGGCGGAACACCAGUGGCGAAGGCGACUCACUGGCCCGAUACUGACGCUGAGGCGCGAAAGCUAGGGGAGCAAACAGG